Molecule: ribosomal RNA, 519 nt
Filed under: uncultured bacterium
Lineage: Bacteria
Description: bacterial SSU rRNA
Rfam family: Bacterial small subunit ribosomal RNA
Source: RNAcentral
AGAGUUUGAUCAUGGCUCAGGAUGAACGCUAGCUACAGGCUUAACACAUGCAAGUCGAGGGGCAGCAUUGGAGUAGCAAUACUCAGAUGGCGACCGGCGCACGGGUGAGUAACACGUAUCCAACCUGCCGCUUACUCGGGGAUAGCCUUUCGAAAGAAAGAUUAAUACCCGAUGGUAUAAAGAGUUCGCAUGUUCUCUUUAUUAAAGAAUUUCGGUAAGCGAUGGGGAUGCGUUCCAUUAGAUAGUUGGCGGGGUAACGGCCCACCAAGUCUACGAUGGAUAGGGGUUCUGAGAGGAAGGUCCCCCACAUUGGAACUGAGACACGGUCCAAACUCCUACGGGAGGCAGCAGUGAGGAAUAUUGGUCAAUGGACGCGAGUCUGAACCAGCCAAAAGUAGCGUGAAGGAUGACUGCCCUAUGGGUUGUAAACUUCUUUUAUAAGGGAAUAAAGUGAGGGACGUGUCCCUUUUUGUAUGUACCUUAUGAAUAAGGAUCGGCUAACUCCGUGCCAGCCGCCGC